AUGCCCCACGAGCCCAGAGAACCCGCACAGGGACGCAGCGACUUCCCGCGGCAGCGUCCAGCCUGGCCACCCAGCCCACGGGCCUCCAGGCAGGGGCGGAUGGGCCAUCUGGCAGCUGGACAGCCUCCCUGGGCCUUGAUGACCGUGACCUCCAUGAGGGCCCCAUCAGCCCCUCUGUACAGACGGAGCCUCAAGAGGCCACGCUCGGAUCUGGCCGCAGCCAGGCCACAGCGGCUGGCUCAGCAUGCCUCCCCCACCCUGUGGCAGCCCCUGCACUGGCCGCUUGGCAGUAGGACCCCCGCGCCCUCGGCCACCACCAGAGCCUCCCAUGACCCCCAUCACGGCCCUCAAUCCCAAAGCCCACCCUCUCCUGCCUCCCCAGCACCCCCUGCCUCAGUGCCCCUUCCCGCUGGACCUCCGUGGACUCUUCUCGGCCUUGCCAACAACCACAAACAGCCUCCAGGAGGGGCCAAGACCAGGGUCGACGGUGCGGGAGGGGGACCUGGGGAUUGUAUGCUUCCACCGCUGGCACCUGCCCUCGGGACAUGGGCAGAUAGCCUCCUCGAGCUGCAAGCCCCUGGCAGCUCUGGAUGGGAGGUGGGGCCCGGGGCUGCCGAUCACCGUCCAGCCAGAUGGCUGACACGCACCCCCAGGGCAGCACCACACCGAGGGGCCGCAGUGACCAGACCCUGGCCCAGGGCAGCUGGACUCCAGGAGGCCCAGAUUCAGGGGCGGGGCCACACCAAGGCCGGGGGACGCAAGCCAGGCAGGCAGAGGUGUCCAGCUCUCUUGGCCGGCCCCCCGGCAUGUGACACAGAGUGGCAGGGACCCAGAACCACAGCCCUCGAGGCUCCAGACCCACCCCGACUCCCCAAACCCACACGCCGUCCACAGAGCCGCUCGGGCAGCAGGGCGCAGCCCCUCCCGGGGAGCCGCGGCCCGCUGGACCUCCAUGGACCCUUGCCACCUGGCCUCGCGGGCGGUCAGCUGCCGCCUGCACCUUCAGAAAGACAGCAAAGGACAACCUCUCCAUCAGAGGCCUUGAGCACAGCGCCCGCACCUGCCCAGAGCUGA
RNAcentral lists this long non-coding RNA (1074 nucleotides) under Capra hircus (goat). RNAcentral describes it as "lncRNA (ENSCHIG00010027601.1)". Lineage: Eukaryota; Metazoa; Chordata; Mammalia; Artiodactyla; Bovidae. The record is from RNAcentral.